GAAGUAAAAGUCGUAACAAGGUCUCCGUUGGUGAACCAGCGGAGGGAUCAUUACUGAGUUUACGCUCUACAACCCUUUGUGAACAUACCUACAACUGUUGCUUCGGCGGGUAGGGUCUCCGCGACCCUCCCGGCCUCCCGCCUCCGGGCGGGUCGGCGCCCGCCGGAGGAUAACCAAACUCUGAUUUAACGACGUUUCUUCUGAGUGGUACAAGCAAAUAAUCAAAACUUUUAACAACGGAUCUCUUGGUUCUGGCAUCGAUGAAGAACGCAGCGAAAUGCGAUAAGUAAUGUGAAUUGCAGAAUUCAGUGAAUCAUCGAAUCUUUGAACGCACAUUGCGCCCGCCAGCAUUCUGGCGGGCAUGCCUGUUCGAGCGUCAUUUCAACCCUCAAGCUCUGCUUGGUGUUGGGGCCCUACAGCCGAUGUAGGCCCUCAAAGGUAGUGGCGGACCCUCCCGGAGCCUCCUUUGCGUAGUAACUUUACGUCUCGCACUGGGAUCCGGAGGGACUCUUGCCGUAAAACCCCCCAAUUUUCCAAAGGUUGACCUCGGAUCAGGUAGGAAUACCCGCUGAACUUAAGCAUAUCAUAA
RNAcentral lists this ribosomal RNA (589 nucleotides) under Colletotrichum gloeosporioides. RNAcentral's name for it is "eukaryotic LSU rRNA". The stretch from base 226 to 379 matches the Rfam family "5.8S ribosomal RNA". The record is from RNAcentral. Lineage: Eukaryota; Fungi; Ascomycota; Sordariomycetes; Glomerellales; Glomerellaceae.